AGUUUAACAGGAGCCAAAAAGCUGAAGUAGCGCACGGGUGAGUAAUACGUAGGAAUUUCCCUCUAAGGUUUAUUAAAAAUAAAUAAAAUUGGAUUGUUUAGAGUAAAGUCUACGUAAGAUUAAGUUGUUGGUAAUGUAAAAGCUUACCAAGCUAAAGAUCUUUAGCUGAUCUGAGAGGAUGAUUAGCCACAUUGGAACUGAAACAAGGUCCAGACUCAUUAUAGAGGCAGCAGCGGAGAAUCUUGAGCAAUGAACGAAAGUUUGACUCAGCUAAAACAUAUGUGUGAUGAAAGUAAGUUUUAUUGCAAAGCACUUUUACAAAAUAAUAUCAUGAAUGUAUUUUGUGAAUAAGUUCCGGCUAACUACGUGCCAGCAGCAGCGGUAAGACGUAGGGAAUUAGCGUUAUUCAAAAUAAUUGGGCGUAAAGUACAUGUAGGCGGUAAAUUUAGUGUUUAUAUAAAAGGCUAAAAGUUUUAUACUGAGAUAAUAUAACAAACAGAUUUACUUUUGAGUAUAAUAUAAGAUUAUAGAAUUUUAAGUGUAAAAGUUAAGUUUGACAAUAUUUGAAGGAAUAUCAAUAGCGAAGGCAAUAAUCUAUAUUUUAACUGACGCUGAUAAUGUGAAAGCAUAGGGAGUGAACAGGAUUAGGGACCCUGGUAAUCUAUGCUGUCAAAUAUGAGAGCUCAUUUUAGAAAAAUUUCUGAAAUUUAGUUAACACGUUAAGCUCUUCGCCUGGGAACUACGAUUGCAAGGUUAAAACUCAAAGGAAUUGACGGGAAUCCAUACGAACGGUGGAGCAUGUGGUUUAAUUCGAUACAACGCGUACAAUCUUACCAAAUUUUGUAUAAGUUUAUAAUAAACUUACAGGAUUGCAUGGCUGUCGUCAGUCCGUGUUGUGAAACGUUUGGUUAAUUCCAACGAACGGACGCAACUUUUAUGCUUAAGUAUUAUUAUUAAGCAAACUG
This 965-nucleotide ribosomal RNA is filed under the name uncultured bacterium. RNAcentral describes it as "bacterial SSU rRNA". It matches the Rfam family "Bacterial small subunit ribosomal RNA", at positions 60 to 1151 of the family's 1533-position model. The record is from RNAcentral.